RNAcentral lists this ribosomal RNA (492 nucleotides) under uncultured bacterium. RNAcentral's name for it is "partial 16S ribosomal RNA". It matches the Rfam family "Bacterial small subunit ribosomal RNA", at positions 30 to 507 of the family's 1533-position model. The record is from RNAcentral.
AUUGAACGCUGGCGGCAUGCUUUACACAUGCAAGUCGAACGGUAACAGGCCUUCGGGUGCUGACGAGUGGCGAACGGGUGAGUAAUGCAUCGGAACGUACCCAGAGGUGGGGGAUAACGCAGCGAAAGCUGUGCUAAUACCGCAUGUGAUCUGAGGAUGAAAGCGGGGGACCGAGCAGCAAUGUUUGGCCUCGCGCCUUUGGAGCGGCCGAUGUCGGAUUAGCUAGUUGGUGGGGUAAAGGCCUACCAAGGCGACGAUCCGUAGCUGGUCUGAGAGGACGACCAGCCACACUGGGACUGAGACACGUCCCAGACUCCUACGGGAGGCAGCAGUGGGGAAUUUUGGACAAUGGGCGCAAGCCUGAUCCAGCAAUGCCGCGUGCGGGAAGAAGGCCUUCGGGUUGUAAACCGCUUUUGGCAGGAACGAAACGGUGUCCGCUAAUACCGGGCGCUAAUGACGGUACCUGCAGAAUAAGCACCGGCUAACUACGUG